UCCCUAGUGGCUCAGAGGGUAAAGCAUCUGCCUGCAAUGUGGGAAACUUGGGUUCGAUCCCUGGAUGGGGAA
RNAcentral lists this transfer RNA (72 nucleotides) under Ovis aries (sheep). It matches the Rfam family "tRNA". Rfam says of the family: Transfer RNA (tRNA) molecules are approximately 80 nucleotides in length. Their secondary structure includes four short double-helical elements and three loops (D, anti-codon, and T loops). Lineage: Eukaryota; Metazoa; Chordata; Mammalia; Artiodactyla; Bovidae. The record is from Rfam by way of RNAcentral.